RNAcentral lists this long non-coding RNA (258 nucleotides) under Olea europaea (common olive). RNAcentral's name for it is "long non-coding RNA (OEUR_LNC003710)". The record is from RNAcentral. Lineage: Eukaryota; Viridiplantae; Streptophyta; Magnoliopsida; Lamiales; Oleaceae.
AUGAAUAAGAUUAUCAUUUCUUUUGCAAAUUGUUUCAAAUAUUCGAAAUGGGUUUCUAGUUUAUGGAUUUGAUUGGUUUUAUUUGUUGAUUUUUUGUUAUAAUGGCAGUUUUGUGCCCCUUGUAUUACUAUUACCUGAAGCAUCUGGUGAAUUAUUUUUGGCUCGGAUUGCUCACUUGUAUUACUAUUACCUGAAGCAUCUGGUGAAUUAUUUUUGGCUCGGAUUGCUCACUACUACUGUUGGUUUCAUGGUGGGCUU